This 180-nucleotide ribosomal RNA is filed under the name uncultured Glomeromycotina. RNAcentral's name for it is "partial small subunit ribosomal RNA". The stretch from base 91 to 180 matches the Rfam family "Eukaryotic small subunit ribosomal RNA", at positions 736 to 828 of the family's 1831-position model. Lineage: Eukaryota; Fungi; Glomeromycota. The record is from RNAcentral.
GACCUGGCUGGGCGGUCUUGCCGAAAGGUAAGCACUGCUCUGGUCGGGUCUUUCCUUCUGGGGAACCAGUGUGCUCUUAAUUGGGUGCGCUGGGGAUCCAGGACUUUUACUUUGAAAAAAUUAGAGUGUUCAAAGCAGGCAUUUGCUCGAAUACAUUAGCAUGGAAUAAUAGAAUAGGAC